AUUGAACGCUGGCGGCAGGCCUAACACAUGCAAGUCGAGCGGAUGAAGGGGGCUUGCUCCUGGAUUCAGCGGCGGACGGGUGAGUAAUGCCUAGGAAUCUGCCUGGUAGUGGGGGAUAACGUCCGGAAACGGGCGCUAAUACCGCAUACGUCCUGAGGGAGAAAGUGGGGGAUCUUCGGACCUCACGCUAUCAGAUGAGCCUAGGUCGGAUUAGCUAGUUGGUGGGGUAACGGCCUACCAAGGCGACGAUCCGUAACUGGCCUGAGAGGGUGAUCAGUCACACUGGAACUGAGACACGGUCCAGACUCCUACGGGAGGCAGCAGUGGGGAAUAUUGGACAAUGGGCGAAAGCCUGACGCAGCCAUGCCGCGUGUGUGAAGAAGGUCUUCGGAUUGUAAAGCUCUUUAAGUUGGGAGGAAGAGAAGUAAGUUAAACCCUUCAUGUUUUGACGUUACCAAAAGAGAAAGCACCGGCUAACUUCGUG
This 484-nucleotide ribosomal RNA is filed under the name uncultured bacterium. RNAcentral's name for it is "partial 16S ribosomal RNA". It matches the Rfam family "Bacterial small subunit ribosomal RNA", at positions 30 to 507 of the family's 1533-position model. The record is from RNAcentral.